Homo sapiens (human) is the source of this 2348-nucleotide long non-coding RNA. RefSeq lists it as uncharacterized. The record is from RefSeq and is a predicted model, not a curated record. Lineage: Eukaryota; Metazoa; Chordata; Mammalia; Primates; Hominidae. The transcript has 2 exons.
AAAAAGGACCACAUCGGAUGACCCCUGAGGCAGGUCUGCUCCCCAAAAGUUUACUCUUGAAUGUUGACCAAGGUUGAGCUAGGCAAAGUGGUAAAUUCACACACACGGUAUGUAGCCCCUUCCCCAACCCCAGUCUCCAUUACCGGGGGCAUGCUGUGAACUAACUGCCUCCUUUUCCCCACACACCCACUUCCUGCCCAGUCUUUAUGCCUCCCGAUAUGACAUCCCGUUCCCUCUUAAUUAACUGUGCCUAUAGAGAAACAUCUAGAUAAACCAUGCAUUUAAUCUGUGAGGGGUCAAUCAUUUAAUCAUCGUUGACAAUAAUGCUCACUCCUCUGUGGUUUCAGAGGACUCCUGGAGUGGAUGGAGACACAUGCCACUAAUGUGGGAUGCAUUUCAGUCUGUCUUCCAGGCCUCGUUUGGAGGUCUCCCUCUCUUACCCACCUAUCACACAUCCAUGUCUUCCCUUCCCUCCCCAGAGCCAAACCUGUCCCCGACUUUUUAUUCUCACUAAAGUUCAAAUGACAGAAAUCAGCUAGAUUAGUACUUGCCUUAGUCCUGAAGGAAAGGGAAGUGCUCAUUAGCUUCUUAAAUUGGAACAGGUCUGCAGGUGAAAAUGAAGAUGUGCUCAUCUCUGGCAGGAAGGUUGGGAGUGAGGGGUAUAGUCAUAAUGAGCAGCGUUUAUUUGGUGUGUGCCUCUCACUUGCCACUUUCUACCCAGCUGCCUGAAUAUCACUCCAGUUAGUCUGAGCACAUGAAACACCUGCAACUCCCCAGACCCACCAUGCUUUUUCUUGACUCUCUGAAUGCACAGCAGUGCCUCCUCAGCUAAGAACACAGUUCCCCAUCACCAAGCUUUGCUUUGCCCAACAGACCCCUUCUCCCUUAGGAUGAGAUUCAGUGGAUAAUCACAUCAUAAUCACGACCCUCUGGGAAGCCGCCUCUCUCAUCCUGGGUUGUGUGUUGUGUGUUUCCUUUCCACACUCCCUCAGCAGCCUUUGCCUCCCACUUUCAUAGAAUCUACCAUAUGGGAUUUUAACUGUUUGUCUUCCACUAGACAAUAAGCUCCUUGAAGACUGAAUUUCCAGGAACUUCUGUUGGAUCUGCAUGUUUGUGAAGUGAAUUACUGAAGGCUGCCCAGUUUCAUCUGAUCCUAGUCAAAACCUAAAUCCCUUAUUUCUACGCUACCUUUUGCCAGCACCUGAAAAUGAUGCCAGGUUUCUGGAAUCCACGGCAGCAAUGGGUGAUAAGUCUCCAGCAUCUGGGUGACAGCAGACUGACUCUGCUCUCAAGUCUCAUUAAUCCACAUUGUAAGUCACACUAUGUCCCUUUGGCUCCAUUUUCUUACCUGUAAAAUGGGGAUUUUGAACUUACUAAUAUGCCAGACACAAAGCUAAAGAAAGGAGCUGAAGAGACAGGAUAAAAAAGACGAAUAAUAGGUUCCUCCCUGUAAGAGCUCACAAUUCAGUGGGCUGACAUCAUCGGCCUUAUCCACCAGAUAGAGUGUUAGAAUAACAGGAUAGCAGGAUAGAGAGUUGAGAGAUAAAAGCACCAUAUAAUGUGACAGGAACUGCCACUUGUCACUCAAUUUCCAUUCUGCCCUGCUAUCUUAGUAACAGAACUCCUGUUUUUAUGGGGCAGACAUGUCCCCAACUAAACACAUUAUAUUUCCCAGCCUCUCUUGCAACUAGUGUAGAGAAACCAACUUUUAGAACCAGAUGUAAGCCUAUACAUUCUCUUAUGUUUCCAGGGAGUCUUUUUAAAAAGGGGAGCCAUGCCCUUUUCCCUUUUGUCUUCCAACCUCCUCCCUAGAAUGUGGAUGAGGUGACUGGAGUUCUUGCAGCCAUUUGGGGCCAUGAGAACAAUGGGUACACCUUAGGGAUGGCAAAGAGUGAGCUAAUUGGAAUAUGGGGCCCUCACCUCUUUGCAGGGCUAUUUUAUCCAUGUUGUAUACUGCAAAUCACUGUACUUCUCUCACCUGAGAAACAAACAGCUAACUUGUGUAUAGAUGUGUGUGUAUGUGUGUAUUAAUGCAACUGAUUCCACUCUCAACUGAUGAACGAAAAUAUUUAAUAUUAAUAAGUAUUACACAUAAUCCCUACUUUAUUUAGCUCCUAAAGAUCUCAUGAGAUUUAUUUUAAAACUAACAUGCUUCAAGAAUUUUUUUAACUUCUGGAAUAUCAAGUGAUAUGGUGGUGCUGAGCAAUGCAGGUAUUUUCACAACUAUCUUUAGGAGAUUCAAAUCAAUGCUUGGGCUCAGGUCACUUUAUGACUGAGAAGUCUGGAAAAUUGUAUUUUCUUUUGAAGUAGCAGGUGAACUUGUAGGACAAUAAAUCAGCUAGACAUGA